GUGGGGAAUCUUGCGCAAUGGGCGAAAGCCUGACGCAGCCAUGCCGCGUGAAUGAUGAAGGUCUUAGGAUUGUAAAAUUCUUUCACCGGGGACGAUAAUGACGGUACCCGGAGAAGAAGCUCCGGCUAACUUCGUGCCAGCAGCCGCGGUAAUACGAAGGGGGCUAGCGUUGCUCGGAAUUACUGGGCGUAAAGGGCGCGUAGGCGGACAGCUUAGUCAGAGGUGAAAGCCCAGGGCUCAACCUUGGAAUUGCCUUUGAUACUGGCUGUCUUGAGUUUGGGAGAGGUGAGUGGAACUCCGAGUGUAGAGGUGAAAUUCGUAGAUAUUCGGAAGAACACCAGUGGCGAAGGCGACUCACUGGCCCAAUACUGACGCUGAGGUACGAAAGCAUGGGGAGCAAACAGGAUUAGAAACCCUUGUAGUCC
Molecule: ribosomal RNA, 425 nt
Filed under: uncultured bacterium
Lineage: Bacteria
Description: partial 16S ribosomal RNA
Rfam family: Bacterial small subunit ribosomal RNA
Source: RNAcentral